This 448-nucleotide ribosomal RNA is filed under the name uncultured bacterium. RNAcentral describes it as "SSU rRNA". It matches the Rfam family "Bacterial small subunit ribosomal RNA", at positions 26 to 518 of the family's 1533-position model. The record is from RNAcentral.
AGAGCGAACGCUGGCGGCAGGCUUAACACAUGCAAGUCGAGCGGGCGUAGCAAUGCGUCAGCGGCAGACGGGUGAGUAACGCGUGGGAACAUACCUUUUGGUUCGGAACAACACAGGGAAACUUGUGCUAAUACCGGAUAAGCCCUUACGGGGAAAGAUUUAUCGCCGAAAGAUUGGCCCGCGUCUGAUUAGCUAGUUGGUGAGGUAACGGCUCACCAAGGCGACGAUCAGUAGCUGGUCUGAGAGGAUGAUCAGCCACAUUGGGACUGAGACACGGCCCAAACUCCUACGGGAGGCAGCAGUGGGGAAUAUUGGACAAUGGGCGCAAGCCUGAUCCAGCCAUGCCGCGUGAGUGAUGAAGGCCCUAGGGUUGUAAAGCUCUUUUGUGCGGGAAGAUAAUGACGGUACCGCAAGAAUAAGCCCCGGCUAACUUCGUGCCAGCAGCCGC